This 447-nucleotide long non-coding RNA is filed under the name Mus caroli (Ryukyu mouse). RNAcentral's name for it is "lncRNA (MGP_CAROLIEiJ_G0006620.1)". Lineage: Eukaryota; Metazoa; Chordata; Mammalia; Rodentia; Muridae. The record is from RNAcentral.
GUAACUACGGAGGAAGCACUCAGGCCAAAGAGAGGGCAACCUCAGGCUGCCUGUUGCGGCUGCCAUUCUGAGCACCGGACACCUUCAUGGCCCUUUUCACUGCUGGCUCUCUCCGAUCAGACCAUCCCACAGUAGCCUCAGAAACAGCCUCACAGACCUAGUGUGCGUGUUUCCAUGGUGAUGCUAGGCUGGCCGUGAAGAUUCACCACAGCAAGGAGGUGCUAUGGAUAUUCCAGAGUUGACUUAAGGCACAUGAGAGGAGUUCACAGGGUACACGCAAACACCAGCCUCUUUACACCAGAGUUGUCCGAAUCUUCGGGGUCCUGGAGUCAGGACCUAGGAUCGAUUCUGAGGGACAGCUAUCCAUGAAAAAAUUUUUUCCUCCCACUCCAUCACAACAACCAAAUCCCUGUCCCAAGCACAGGUGAUGUUAUUAACCAUCAAGUG